Molecule: ribosomal RNA, 660 nt
Filed under: Oscillatoriaceae cyanobacterium VUW13
Lineage: Bacteria; Bacillati; Cyanobacteriota; Cyanophyceae; Oscillatoriales; Oscillatoriaceae
Description: bacterial SSU rRNA
Rfam family: Bacterial small subunit ribosomal RNA
Source: RNAcentral
UGGCGGACGGGUGAGUAACGCGUGAGAAUCUAGCUUUUGGUCGGGGACAACCAUUGGAAACGGUGGCUAAUACCGGAUAUGCCGAAUAGGUGAAAGAUAAAUUGCCAGAAGAAGAGCUCGCGUCUGAUUAGCUAGUUGGUAGGGUAAAGGCCUACCAAGGCAUCGAUCAGUAGCUGGUCUGAGAGGACGAUCAGCCACACUGGGACUGAGACACGGCCCAGACUCCUACGGGAGGCAGCAGUGGGGAAUUUUCCGCAAUGGGCGAAAGCCUGACGGAGCAAGACCGCGUGAGGGAGGAAGGCUCUUGGGUUGUAAACCUCUUUUGUCAGGGAAGAAGAAAGUGACGGUACCUGAAGAAUCAGCAUCGGCUAACUCCGUGCCAGCAGCCGCGGUAAUACGGAGGAUGCAAGCGUUAUCCGGAAUUAUUGGGCGUAAAGCGUCCGCAGGUGGUCAAUCAAGUCUGCUGUCAAAGAGUGGGGCUUAACCCCAAAGAGGCAGUGGAAACUGAAGGACUAGAGUGCUCAAGGGGUAGAGGGAAUUCUCGGUGUAGCGGUGAAAUGCGUAGAGAUCGGGAAGAACAUCGGUGGCGAAAGCGCUCUACUGGAGAGCAACUGACACUCAGGGACGAAAGCUAGGGGAGCGAAUGGGAUUAGAUACCCC